GGCGAACGGGUGAGGAACACGUGAGGAAUCUACCUUCAACUCUGGGAUAACUCCGGGAAACCGGGGCUAAUACCGGAUAUGAGACUGGGCGGCAUCGCCUAGUCUGGAAAGUUUUUCGGUUGAAGAUGACCUCGCGGCCUAUCAGCUUGUUGGUGAGGUAAUGGCUCACCAAGGCGACGACGGGUAGCCGGCCUGAGAGGGCGACCGGCCACACUGGGACUGAGACACGGCCCAGACUCCUACGGGAGGCAGCAGUGGGGAAUAUUGGGCAAUGGAGGAAACUCUGACCCAGCGACGCCGCGUGCGGGAUGAAGGCCUUCGGGUUGUAAACCGCUUUCAGUAGGGAAGAAGCGAAAGUGACGGUACCUACAGAAGAAGCACCGGCUAACUAUGUGCCAGCAGCCGCGGUAAUACAUAGGGUGCAAGCGUUGUCCGGAAUUAUUGGGCGUAAAGAGCUCGUAGGUGGUUUGUUACGUCGGAUGUGAAACUCUGGGGCUCAACCCCAGACCUGCAUUCGAUACGGGCAAGCUAGAGUUUGGUAGGGGAGACUGGAAUUCCUGGUGUAGCGGUGGAAUGCGCAGAUAUCAGGAGGAACACCGAUGGCGAAGGCAGGUCUCUGGGCCAAUACUGACACUGAGGAGCGAAAGCGUGGGGAGCGAACAGGAUUAGAUACCCUGGUAGUCCACGCCGUAAACGGUGGGCGCUAGUUGUGCGAACCUUCCACGGUUUGUGCGACGCAGCUAACGCAUUAAGCGCCCC
Molecule: ribosomal RNA, 759 nt
Filed under: uncultured Intrasporangiaceae bacterium
Lineage: Bacteria; Bacillati; Actinomycetota; Actinomycetes; Micrococcales; Intrasporangiaceae
Description: bacterial SSU rRNA
Rfam family: Bacterial small subunit ribosomal RNA
Source: RNAcentral